Non-coding RNA from Rattus norvegicus (Norway rat), 8223 nucleotides. NCBI's taxonomy places the organism in Eukaryota, Metazoa, Chordata, Mammalia, Rodentia, Muridae. The record is from RefSeq and is a predicted model, not a curated record.
UAACAUUUGAAAUGUGAAUAAAAAAUAUCCAGCUUAAAAAAAAGAAAAAAAAUAAGUUUGGCAAAACAUUAAUAACUUAUGAGGAACAAAUUUCUUUAGUUAUUCAACAAGGCAGAUAAAGAGCUGUUACACUGUUGGGAUAUGAUUGUGCUGCUAUUGUUUUCUCAUUAAGUAAAGAUACAGUUGUAUAUUUAAUACAGAUUCUGAAGUUUUUGAAUUAGCCAUGAUUUCUUACACUGGAAAUAUUAAAUUUUAUUUUCCCCAUAGUAAAUUGUGGAAUUGCUUUAGAAAAUAGAAAUUUGUGAUAAAUAUACUAAUUUCUGUUGAUCCAUUACCAUCUGCCAUUACUGUGUUUCCUGAUGGCUCUAAGACAAAGGGUGCUUAUUGGAUCAAAGAUAAAUUUUGGGUACAGGAAUCUUCUUUUGGGCCAGUACAACAAAAUUAGCAAUAAUUAAUGUACUGCAGGAUUUUACUCAUGAUGUAAAUAGUAUAGCUGACUCAGCUUAUGUUGUAGGAGUAGUACAGAAUAUUGUGACUGCUGUUAUUUCUACGUCUAAGCUUACAUUAAAUAUAUUAUUUUCAUAUAUUAAAGGACUAUUUUUAAUACAAAACUCUAGGAUAUUUAUUACACAUAUUAGAUCACAUUCAAAAUUGCCUGGAUCUUUAACAUUUGGUAAUCAUAUGGUAGAUCCAUUAGUGACAUUUGCUACCCCAGAAGAAGAACAUAGUCACAAUCAUGCCAAUGCAGGAUAUUUACAAAUUAAAUAUAAGAUUCCCUAUUCUCAAGCCAAAGGAAUUAUUGCUAAUUGUCCUAUUUGUAAGCCUUUACAUAUAAGAUGUAUUCCAUCUGGUAUUAAUACCAGAGGAAUGCAACCUAAUGAAUUGUGGCAGGUGCCUGUAACCCAUAUUUCUGAGUUUGGUCGCAUUUCAGAUAUACAUGUAAGCAUAGACACUUUUUCAAAAUUUGUAUAGGCUAUGCCAUUGCCUGGAGAAUGCAUUGCUCAUGUUAUACAACAUCUAUUGGAAACUUUUGCUGUUGUGGGACUACCCUCUAAAAUUAAAACUGCUAAUGGAACAACAUAUAUUUCUUAUAAAUUUAAACAAUUUUGUCAACAAUAUCAUAUUGUACAUAUUACUGGUAUAAAAUAAAAUCCACAGGACAAGCUUUUGAUGAAAGAGUACACCAUACCUUGAAACAACAAAUUAAAAAAUUAAAAAGGAGGAAAAGAGAUGACCUUACAUAGCCUGAAUGGAGUUGGCAGACUAAUUCCAGAGUUAUAUUGGCACAAGCAUUAUUUUUUAUUAACUUUCUUAAUUUAUCACAAGGUGAAAUUUUAUCAAGAGCAGAUAGAUACUUUACUGAACUCCCCCCUGAAGGCAGUAUGGAUAAAACAGCCAGUAUGGAUAAAAGUUGCUCGAGAUGCUGAAAGGAAGGGACAUUACUGUAUUCAGGUAGGAGAUAGGCUUUUGUCUCAUUAUAGGAUGGGAGACAAUUCUGGUUACCUGGGAGAUGGGUCCAAGCACAGACUGAUAAGAACUGCGCCCUACCCUCGCAGGAAUCCAAUUAAACCAGCUACAUUUUCUCCUGAUGGAAGUCCUUCGGAGAUGAAGGAGGUGUCUUCCGUUACUGAGGCCAUGGCUUCUCUUACGUUUGAUAAAUGACAACAGAGAAGGAUAUGUGCAGUGACAACCCCAUUACCUACGUGGGGUCAGGUGAAAUGAUUAACCACUGAAGGACAAAAAAUGUUCUCUCAUACGGGAAAGCCCUUUACUGCUGAGCAUGUAUUUUUAGCAAUGUAUACUUUACUCAUGGUGUCUUCUGCUGAGGCCAAUGUGAGUUAUUGGGCUUAUAUUCCUAAUCCACCUUUAUUUGAGCCUGUUACUUGGGGGGAAAACAGAUGUGGUGUUAUACACUACUCCAAGCAUUUUUUCAUCUCCUUGGAAUAAUUUGACUUAUUUGAAUAAACAUGAUGAAGUUUUGUAUAAUUUUUCUUAUGCUGGCUCAAAGAUGCCUUUAUGUUUAGGACAGAGAUCAUGCCUCCAAAUGGGUUAUUUGCAGCAAUUGACAGCUUGAUUUAUAAACCAAAAUUGGGAUAACAUUACAUUUGUUAGUGAGCAAGUAUAUCCUAUUUGUGCUCAAUUUACUUAUAUAGGCUUAAAAUAUCGCAGAUUCAUUUGAAAAAAUUGCCUUGGCACGUUUGGAAAAAUUAUUCAAGGUAAAUGAUAAAUUGGGGUUCUUAUGGCCAAUUUAUUAAUUAAUACAUGUUCAGAAUGGAAUGUUACCACUUAUGAUUUGUCUAAUGUUAUGGAGGUUCCUCAGAAAAUUGGACAUUGAACUGCCUGAGGACCCAGCUAUGCCUCUCUUAGGCAUAUACCCAAAAGAUGCCCCAACAUAUAACAAAGACACAUGCUCCACUAUGUUCAUCGCAGCCUUAUUUAUAAUAGCCAGAAGCUGGAAAGAACCCAGAUGCCCUUCAACAGAGGAAUGGAUACAGAAAAUGUGGUACGUCUACACAAUGGAAUAUUACUCAGCUAUCAAAAACAAUUUUAUUCUAUAUUAGAGUGGCUACUCCAGCUUGUUUCUUGGUACCAUUUUCUUGAAACACUUUUUUCCAGACAUUUACUCUGAGGAAGUAUCUGUCUUUGUCAUUGGCGUGUGUUUCCUGUAUGCAGCAAAAUGCUGGGUUCUCUUCAUGUAUCUAGUCUGUUAGUCUGUGUCUUUUUAUUGGGGAAUUGAGUACAUUGAUGUUGAGAGAUAUUAGGGACCAAUGGUUGCUGUUCCCUAUUACUUUUGUUGUUAGAGGAAUUAUGUUUGUGUGCCUAUCUUCUUUUUGGUUUGAUGCAGUUCGAUUAGUUUCUUACUUUUUCUAGGGUGAAGUUGCCUUCCUGUGUUGGAGUUUUCCAUCUAUUAUCCUUUGAAGGGCUGGAUUUGUAGAAAGAUAUUGUGUAAAUUUGGUUUUGCCAUGAAAUAUCUUUGUUUUUCCAUCUAUGGUAAUUUAGGAUUUUGCUGGAUAUAAUAGCCUGGGCUGGCAUUUCUCUCAAGGUCUGUAUGACAUCUGCCCAGGAUCCUCUUGGCUUUCAUAGCCUCUGCUGAGAAGUCUGGUAUAAUUCUGAUAGGUCUACCUUUAUAUGUUACUUGAGCUUUUCACCUUUCUACUUUUAAUAUUCUUUCUUUGUUUAGGACAGUUGGUGUUCUAUUUGGAGUUCUGUAGGAUUCUUGUAUGUUUAUGGGCAUCUAUUUAGUUUAGUGAAGUUUUCUUUUAUAAUUUUAUUGAAGAUAUUUACUGACCCUUUAAAUUUUGAAUCUUCACUUUCUUCUAUACCUAUUAUCUUUAGGUUUGAUCUUCUCAUUGUGUCCUAGAUUUCCUGGAUGUUUUGCAUUGGGGUCUUUUUGAAUUUUGUAUUUGCUCUGACUGUUGUGUCAAUGUUUUCUAUAGUAUCUUCUGCCCCUGAGAUUCUCUCUUCUAUCUCUUGUAUUCUGUUGGUGAUGCUUGCAUCUAUGACUACUGAUCUCUUUCCUAGGUUUUCUAUCUUCAGGGUUGUCUCCCUUCUGAUUUCUUUGUUGUUUCUAUUUCCAUUUUUUAUAUCUUGGUUUGUUCAAUUCCUUCACUUGUUUGCUUGUGUUUUCCUUUACUUCUUUAAGGGAUUUUUGUAUCUCCUCUUUAACUGCUUCUACCUGUUUACCUGUGUUGUCCUGAAUUUCUUUAAGGGAGUUAUUUAUGUCUGUCUUAAAGUCCUCUAACAUCAUCAUGAGAUGUGAUUUUAAAUCAGAAUCUUGCUUUUCUUGUGUGUUGGGGUAUCCAGGACUGAUUUCUGAAGAUGCCAAGUGGCCUUGGUUUCUGUUGUGUAGUUUUUUUGUUCUUGCCUCUCACCAACUGGUUUUCUCUGGUGUUAGCUGGUCUUGCUGUCUGUGACAGUGGCUUAACUCUCCUGUAAGUCUGUGUUUCAGCACUCCUGGGAGACCAGAUCCCAGUAGGAUCUGUGCACAGAGAGCUGUGGCACAGGGUCAGCUCUGGGUGCAGACAAUAACUGGAAGGAUUCCAUCCUAGACUGCUUCUCGCUUCCCAUGUUCUGAGGCUCUCGGCAGGUCCCUCUGAGCAGAAGUGUUUGUCCCACCUGUGCUUCCAGGUGUGUCAGCACUCUUGGGAGACCAGCUCUCUCCCUGUGGGAUCCGGGUACAGAGAUCUGUGGGAUAGGGUCAGGUCCAGGUGCAGACCCAUUUUGGCUUUUCUUAAAAACUUUAGGGAUUUUUUUCUAUUAACGUUGCAUCCUUAUCACUUUUAAAACCUAGUCUUUUUAUGUGAGGCCAUUUAAAUUCUUUAUAUUUUUGUGGGCAUUCAGUAUUUAAUGACAUUUGUUAUAAAUUACAGGAUAAGCUAGAGUUGGUUUUCUAACAUCCUUUGGCUGACUUUCCUGAUUUUCAUUAUAUGGUAGUGCAGUAGAUUUUAACCUUUUUUCCCCUCUCAAUAAACCUUUUAAAAGGGGCUGGCCACUUUCCUGCCUUGAGUAUACAAAAUUUCCAAAGAUGUUACCUGCCUCUUGAAUCAGCAUAACAGUCUGUCAUUAACUCUUGCCUGUGUGAUAAGCUUCUUUGUCAAAGGCUGAGAGCAUGGUAAUACAUAGAUAUGGAUAUAAGCGAUUUCGACCUGUCCAUUUAGCAAAACAAUUGUAAUAGGUUCCUAACCAAAGCCUAUGACAUCUUUAUCCAUAGGAACACCAAUAAACUUUAAAGAUAUGUUUUAGAGUUUUAUCAGUUUGCUUAAAUCUCCUCAGCUUCAGAUCCCUCAUGUGUAAAUGCCAGGAAAAAAAAUAGUACCUACUUCACAGGGUUAAUAAGUAAACAAUUCAAUCCUUCAUAGCUCAGAAAAAUGGAAUUGGUGGUGAAUAUCCAUUUUUAUCUCUUUCUAUAAUUUGGAUGGAAUAGCUGCAGAGGUACCCAAUUCUCUUGCACAGUCCCUUCCUCUUUGUGGUAAAAAACAGUCUUCAGUCUCCCCCCAAGAGGAUGCACCUGCAUGUAGAUCCUCCCAAGUGACUGCUGCCUGCUGUACCUGCAUAAAGUUUUUCUCUGUGUGAUGUCACAAGGGAGGAUGGUUGCCAGGGCAAAAUGGUAUCUUCAGAAGCCAAGGUUCUUUAGUCCUUACAGGUUGAAGACCAUGCAGCUGGGAACUCCCACCCUCUAUCCCCAACUGCACAUGUCCACUCCUACAUUUCAUGUCUGAAAGAGGUUCAUAUUAGUACUUUAUCCGGGAGUCUUUGCAAAAAUCACAGUAAAAAGCCAUCAAUUACUUUUUCCCAUAACAUUUAUUGACUAUUAGAUCCUGCAAAGGAGGGCACUAAAUGUUACAUCCUAAGUUGCCUGAAGCUCGAAGAGUCACAGGUGAACAUAGUACCUUAACAAUAGUAUACCACCAAUUCUUACCAUGGGGGAGUCCAGGACCCUAAAAAGUUAGAUGAGUCUUAUGUGCCCCAAAUUUUCUCCCAAUACCCUUGAAGCAUAUCUAGAAACAAUCCUUGCCUAAGUCCAUAGAUCCCUUUUGUUCCUUUUCUCCUGAAAAGGAACUUCCUCACUGCUGAUGAUAAGCUCAGGCAGAACUCUCUUCCUGAAUCCUCCCUCCCAUCAAACUAUCAUUUCAUGUAGAGAAGAUAAUAGGCUAAUAAUGAACUCAGAGGGUACCUAGAAAACUGGUGUGCCAAUGGGCACUAGUUUCCAACAUGUCAAAGAACAAACACCCUUGCCUCUGCUUUAUUCAGGGGACACUUCUGAACCCCCAAGGGACAGUCCUUACACUUUUUCAAGUUCACACUGCCUGCCUGUCUAUAACCCUUAAACCCAGGACUCAGAAAACAUAGUGGUUUCCCAUGUCCUUCUCAGAGAUGUUCAUAUUCCAUAGAGAUUGUGGUUUACGUAUUAGUAGAAAUCCUUCAGGAUAUAGGAACCAGGUAACCAGGUUUUCAUUAGUUAGGAUUUUCUUGAAUUUUAUUAUCAAAUAUUAUUAUAAAAACAUUGAACAAAAGUGAGAAAACACAGUGGUUAAAAACACACUCUGGAGCCAAAGUAUCUCAACUGUACUCUCUUGUGUCUCCUGGGUAAGUUAUUCAACAUCUCUGCUUCUGUUUAUCCACUUGUAAGUCUGCGGUAGUAACAAUGCCUCCUUCAUAGAGUUAAGGGAAUUGAACAAGUUAAUAUUUUAAAAAAAAGAAUUUAAAAGGAGGCCUAGCACAUGGUAAGUGCUUAUGUAUUUGUAAAACAAAACAAACAAAAACAACCCCCCCAAAAAAACCCCUUAAAUUAACUGGGUUAAUUUCUCCAUGGAUCUAAGAGGUCUUUAUCCAAACACACUUUUUUAGAUGUUAUAGUAGAUGUUUAUGUACAAUUGUGUCCUUUUUACUGUUGUUUCUUCUAUUACAUAUAUUGCCAGUACCCACAAUUAUAAUUUAUAGUGAUUGCCUAAGAGUUAUAAGCUAACUGCCCAAUAAUUCACUGAUAUGUACCAAUGGACACUGACACUACAUUAUUAAGUAUUGGUUCUAUUUCAAAACUCAGUUUCAUAUUUCUAGGCAAUAGCCUUUCUAUCUUCUAUCAUUAGUGAUCUCAUUUACUAAUUUUUUUCUAAAGAGGUUAACCUUGAUCAACAGUAAAUAUUCCACUCAGUACUAUACUAAUUUUUCCCCAUAAGUUCAGACUUAAUAUUCCAUAUUCUAUCUCUUAAAGAGCACCUAGACCCUCCCCUUGUAAUAGCAAAAUCUGUUUCUAUCAUUAUGCACAAAAUGUUAAUGCAAAGCUUCCCAUCUAUAUUCCAGGUAGUAUUUUUCCAGUUAAAACACUAACUAUUCUUGGCACAAGACUUUCCUCUUAGUAAUGCACAAACUUCUACAUCUUGAUCUACAAAUCAGAGCUUUUGCUAGAAUACUGCAUUCACCCAAUCAUGUUCCUCAGACCACAUAAAAAGCUUAGAACUUUUUUUCCUAUAAUUUCCUACCAUUGAAUACAGGCUACAUAACUGCUGAAAGUUUUUCCCUAGUCUUUUCGUUUCUGUCACUCAAAGUUUCUUCUAAAAAGAGAUUUCCUGUUGUAUAGUAAAGACAGUUUAACUGAAUUCUUAGUGAAAAACUUCCUUCUUGGUUAUACUUAUAGGGCUUCCACCCCUACCCAAUGUGUUGUUAAACAUACAAUAAAAGAAAAGUCUUUGACCAAUUCAGUUACAGUUUCUCUUCACUAUGAUUUUUCUGAUGUUGAAGUAAGGCUGAAUGACCACUAAAGGCUCUUCCACAUUGAUUGCAUAUAAAGCGUUUCUCUCCACUAUGCAUUCUCUGAUGAAUAAUCAGGGAAGAAUUCUUACAGAAAGCUUUUUCACAAUGAAUACAUUUGUAGGGUUUCUCUCCAGUAUGGUUUCUCAAGUGUACAAUCAGGGAAGAACUCUCAUUAAAUGCCUUCCCACACUCAUUGCACCUGUAUGGUUUUUCUCCAGUAUGAGUUCUCCGGUGUGCAAUUAGGUGAGAGCUACAAUUAAAGGAUCGUUCACAUUGAUUACAUUUAUAGGGUUUCUCACCAGUGUGAAUUCUCCGAUGAGCAACAAGGUGACAGCUCUGACUGAAGGAUUUUCCACAUUUAUUGCAUUCAUAGGGCUUUUCUCCAGUAUGAGUCCUUUGAUGCCUAACAAGAUGGGCCAUUUGGCUACAUGAUUUUCCACAUUUAUUACAUUCAUAGGGCUUAAUUCCAGAAUGAAUAAUUUCAUGUUUUGUAAGGGCUGAACGCUCUCUGAAAGCUUUGCCACAUUCUUGACAGUUGUAAGGUUUCUCUCCCGUGUGAGUUCUUUGGUGAGCAAUAAGAUGGGAGCUCCAGCUGAAGGACUUUCCACACUCAGUACAUUUAUAUGGUUUUGCUCCAGAGUGAGUUCUUUCAUGUUUACUAAGGGCUGAAUAAUCUCUAAAAGCCUUUUCACAUUCAUCACAUUUAAAGGGUUUCUCUCCAGUAUGCAUCCGCAUAUGGGCAAUAAGAUGGGAACUCCAGCUAAAAGACUUGCCACAUUCAGUACACUCAAAAGGUUUCUCUCCAGUAUGAGUUCUCUGAUGCCCAAUAAGAUGGGAAUUCCAGUUGAAUGAUUUCCCACAUUCAUUACAUACAUAAGGUUUUUCUCCUGUAUGGAUUCUUGUGUGUACAAUAAGAUGAGAAUUCCAACUGAAGGCUUUCCCACAUUUGUUACAUUCAUAAGGUUUUAUUCC